Molecule: ribosomal RNA, 463 nt
Filed under: uncultured bacterium
Lineage: Bacteria
Description: partial 16S ribosomal RNA
Rfam family: Bacterial small subunit ribosomal RNA
Source: RNAcentral
GAUGAACGCUGACAGAAUGCUUAACACAUGCAAGUCUUUGGCGAAUCUGUGCUUGCACAGGCUAGCCAAGGCGGACGGGUGAGUAACGCGUAAAGAACUUGCCCUGCAGACAGGGAUAACAGACGGAAACGACUGAUAACCCCUGAUACAGUUGCCGGCACGCAUGUGCUUGGCAAUGAAAAGAGAUGCUGCAGGAGAGCGUUGCGUCCUAUUAGCUUGUUGGUGAGGUGACGGCCCACCAAGGCGAUGAUAGGUAGCCGGCCUGAGAGGGUGAACGGCCACCAGGGGACGGAGAUACGGCCCUUACUCCUACGGGAGGCAGCAGUGGGGAAGAUUGGACAAUGGGGGCAACCCUCAUCCAGCAAUUCUGUGUGCACGAAGAAGGUUUUCGGAGUGUAAAGUGCUUUCAGCAGGGAAGAAGAAAGUGACGGUACCUGCAGAAGAAGCGACGGCUAAAUACGUG